Long non-coding RNA from Pongo pygmaeus (Bornean orangutan), 1006 nucleotides. RefSeq lists it as uncharacterized. NCBI's taxonomy places the organism in Eukaryota, Metazoa, Chordata, Mammalia, Primates, Hominidae. The transcript has 3 exons. The record is from RefSeq and is a predicted model, not a curated record.
CACUUCGCCGCCGCCAGCCCGUGGCCCCGGGCGCCAAAGGGCCUCUUAAUUGUUCCUAGAACGGGUGGCAUUUAGGUCAAUUAAUAUGCAAAACAGGAGUAAAUCAUCUCAUUCGCGGGCCCCACGCGGGGCGGGGAGCCGAGGCAUUUGCUAGGCAGCGAGGUCGCGGCCCCCGCCGCGUGUUUAUCUGGGGAAAUGGAAAUCAGGCGACGCACAAAGCCGCCCCGCGGGCCGGGCCGCGCCCUCGGCCGCCCUCGGCGGGGUCGCCGGCGCCGGUCCCGACCAGCGGCCAGGGCUGGCGGAUCGGCUGGAACCCUGGGGUCGCCUCUGGCCCUCUCUGGUCCACCGUGCCUAGCUGGUGAUAGCAGGAGUUCUGUUAUUACAUAAAUCAGGUAUAAUACGAUUCCCUAAGUGCUUCGAAUUGGAGCUUGCGUGCUUCUGACCCGUUAUUAUGCUACCGAGCCUUGACUGAAGUCCAAAGCCUACUCGCAUUUCUGCAUUUAAUCCUCAAAAUCGCACUAAGAGGCAGGUGAUUAUUCCUAUUGUUCAGCUGAAGAAACCGAGGCAGAGAGGUGAAGACGGUCACCUGGCCCAGACCAAGCCCUUCACCAUUAAGAAAUGUAACAGGACCCACUGCGCACCUGCACUCUUCUAGACUCUGACGUUUCCACAGGGAACACAACAGGAGAUUCCGGCCUCGUAGGACACCAGCGAGAGCACCUCCAGGAGAAGCCAGCAGGGUGACAGAAAUGGCCCCUCGAAGGAGGUGACACUUGAGCAGAGACCUGAGGGAGCCUUCAUCCAUCUGAAAUGAAUUUGGCAGAAUGACACUCUCUUUCUUGUGAAACCCAGUCCUGCCUUGGGAUCCACAGAUGCCCCAACAUGUCCUGCCUUCCCUGUCCCUUGGUCCCUCAUUCAGUCACUCUACAAGUAUGUUUUGAGCCUUUGUUAAGCACCAAACACUGGUGAUCCUGCUUUGAAUAGAUCAUGCCCCUGUGCUGGGAAA